GACGAACGCUGGCGGCGUGCUUAACACAUGCAAGUCGAACGCUAAGGCUUUGUGCUUGCACUGUGUGGGUGUGUGGCGCACGGGUGUGUCAUACGUGUAUCACCUGCCUUUGACUCUGGGAUCUUCCUGGGACUCUGGGUCUUACACUGUAUAUGCCCUUCCUCUGUAUUGUGGUUUGGGGAAAGUGGUUUGGUGGUUAUGGAUGGGCGCACGGUCUAUCAGCUUGUUGGUGGGGUAGUGGCCUACCAAGGCAACGACGGGUAGCCGGCCUGAGAGGGUGACCGGCCACACUGGGACUGAGACACGGCCCAGACUCCUACGGGAGGCAGCAGUGGGGAAUAUUGCACAAUGGGCGGAAGCCUGAUGCAGCGACGCCGCGUGAGGGAUGACGGCCUUCGGGUUGUAAACCGCUUUCACCAGGGACGAAGCGUGAGUGACGGUAAUGGCAAAAGAAGCACCGGCUAACUACGUG
Molecule: ribosomal RNA, 472 nt
Filed under: uncultured bacterium
Lineage: Bacteria
Description: partial 16S ribosomal RNA
Rfam family: Bacterial small subunit ribosomal RNA
Source: RNAcentral